RNAcentral lists this unclassified non-coding RNA (21 nucleotides) under Chlamydomonas reinhardtii. RNAcentral describes it as "small RNA Cre_2836". Lineage: Eukaryota; Viridiplantae; Chlorophyta; Chlorophyceae; Chlamydomonadales; Chlamydomonadaceae. The record is from RNAcentral.
UGAACAUCCGCAACCGGUUGU